GGGAUGCGUUCCAUUAGAUAGUAGGCGGGGUAACGGCCCACCUAGUCAACGAUGGAUAGGGGUUCUGAGAGGAAGGUCCCCCACAUUGGAACUGAGACACGGUCCAAACUCCUACGGGAGGCAGCAGUGAGGAAUAUUGCACAAUGGGGGAAACCCUGAUGCAGCAACGCCGCGUGAAGGAAGAAGGUUUUCGGAUCGUAAACUUCUAUCAACAGGGACGAAGAAAGUGACGGUACCUGAAUAAGAAGCCCCGGCUAACUACGUGCCAGCAGCCGCGGUAAUACGUAGGGGGCAAGCGUUAUCCGGAAUUACUGGGUGUAAAGGGAGCGUAGGCGGCACGCCAAGCCAGAUGUGAAAGCCCGAGGCUUAACCUCGCGGAUUGCAUUUGGAACUGGCGAGCUAGAGUACAGGAGAGGAAAGCGGAAUUCCUAGUGUAGCGGUGAAAUGCGUAGAUAUUAGGAAGAACACCAGUGGCGAAGGCGGCUUUCUGGACU
This 494-nucleotide ribosomal RNA is filed under the name uncultured Lachnospiraceae bacterium. RNAcentral describes it as "bacterial SSU rRNA". It matches the Rfam family "Bacterial small subunit ribosomal RNA", at positions 228 to 735 of the family's 1533-position model. Lineage: Bacteria; Bacillati; Bacillota; Clostridia; Lachnospirales; Lachnospiraceae. The record is from RNAcentral.